GUCUACGGCCAUACCACCCUGAACGCGCCCGAUCUCGUCUGAUCUCGGAAGCUAAGCAGGGUCGGGCCUGGUUAGUACUUGGAUGGAAUGCCUACCCAUCUAGCAGACUCCACUCACUCUGGGCU
Molecule: ribosomal RNA, 125 nt
Filed under: Mustela putorius furo (domestic ferret)
Lineage: Eukaryota; Metazoa; Chordata; Mammalia; Carnivora; Mustelidae
Source: RNAcentral